GGCAAACCACGCCCCCUUAGGCCACGCCCACACUAUAAAAGGCUCAGCGAAUCCCUGACGCGCGACGGGGCCAAGAUCCGCGCCCACAUCCGCCUGGUGCUGGAGGGCCUGCGGGAGCUGCAGGGGCUGCAGGAGCCCCCCGGGACCUCGGAGCCCUGAGCGCGACGCCGGGAGGGACCGGGGUGUAAAACCGGAGUAAAACGGAGUUAUUUACACCGUGGAGUGGCCUGGGUGUAAAACCGGAGUAAAAUUGAGUUAUUUACACCGUGGAGUAACUUGGGUGUAAAACGGGAGUAAAACGGAGUUUGUACACCUUGGAGUGACCUGGGUGUGUAAAAAGGGAGUAAAAUUGAGUUAUUUACACCGUGGAGUGACCUGGGUGUAAAACCGGAGUAAAACGGAGUUAUUUACACCGUGGAGUGGCCUGGGUGUAAAACGGGAGUAAAACGGAGUUUGUACACCGGGAGUGACCUGGGUGUAAAAUGGGAGUAAAACGGAGUUUGUACACCUGGGAGUGACCUGGGUGUGUAAAACGGGAGUAAAAUGGAAUUUUUGCACUAGGGAGUGACUUGUGUGUAGAACAGGAGUAAAACGGACUUUUUACACCUGGGAGUGACACAUGUGUAAAACCGGAAUAAAAUGGAGUUUUUUACACCGCG
Molecule: non-coding RNA, 659 nt
Organism: Lonchura striata (white-rumped munia)
Lineage: Eukaryota; Metazoa; Chordata; Aves; Passeriformes; Estrildidae
Source: RefSeq, a predicted model, not a curated record